AACGCGAAGAACCUUACCCAGGCUUGACAUGCACAGGACGACGGUAGAGAUAUCGUUUCCCUUCGGGGCUUGUGCACAGGUGCUGCAUGGCUGUCGUCAGCUCGUGCCGUGAGGUGUUGGGUUAAGUCCCGCAACGAGCGCAACCCUUGUCAUUAGUUGCCAACACGUAAUGGUGGGAACUCUAAUGAGACUGCCUAGGUUAACUAGGAGGAAGGUGAGGAUGACGUCAAGUCAGCAUGGCCCUUAUGUCUGGGGCUACACACGUACUACAAUGGCCGGUACAGAAGGCAGCGAAGUCGCAAGGCGUAGCAAAUCCCCAAAGCCGGCCCCAGUUCAGAUUGUAGUCUGCAACUCGACUACAUGAAGUUGGAAUUGCUAGUAAUGGCGUGUCAGCAAUAACGCCGUGAAUACGUUCCCGGGCCUUGUACACACCGCAUAC
Molecule: ribosomal RNA, 439 nt
Filed under: uncultured bacterium
Lineage: Bacteria
Description: bacterial SSU rRNA
Rfam family: Bacterial small subunit ribosomal RNA
Source: RNAcentral